Molecule: long non-coding RNA, 1113 nt
Filed under: Equus caballus (horse)
Lineage: Eukaryota; Metazoa; Chordata; Mammalia; Perissodactyla; Equidae
Description: lncRNA (ENSECAG00000054521.1)
Source: RNAcentral
CUGCCACCCCAGGAAUCUUGCUCUCCCAGGUCUCGGUCAGCCGGGAAGCACUGUUGACCCACGUUGGGCGUGAGAUGCCGUGGGAAGGAAUGGACCAGCAGGGGAUGGGUCCCCACUGAUGGAGGCCUGUGUGGGAUUUACGCCUUGUGAGUUGUGUGGGCAAACCUGCUGUCAGGAUCCGGAUUUUCCCAGCACCUGUUCUAUCUCAGGUGUUUCUGGCUGCUUCCCAAAAGCAGAACAUUAUAGCACCCAUUUAAAGUGGAGGCAGCUGAAACCCAACGGAAGCUGCAGUCAUUUGCCCCAGGUUCCCAGCUGCCAUGUGGUGGAAGUGGCACUUUGACCCUGAAUCUCACUCGCUUUUCAUGACCCUUUACUGCGCCCCCCCCACCUGUGGAACAGCAGACACUCGCGGGUCUGUGGCCCCUGGAAUGACUUCAGAAAUUUCCUCCUCGUCCCUCAUCAUAAUCCAGCAGCUUCCUCUGACCCCACUGGGCUACAGGUGGAGCUAGAGGCUCGGGAAGACAAGGAAGGCGGCUGAGGCCGUGAGCAGUGGGGUGGGCCGGGGUAAGGGCCAGCUUCCUCCCUCUGUGGCUGCCAGAGAGACCCCAGGAGUGCGGGAGACAGACCCCGGAGAGGCCGGCCAGCGGCACGCAGCCAGGCCUCCCGCCUCCCAGGAUUGAUGUGCUCUCAUUUGGGAGAAGCAGUUUCCUGUUUAGGGAAGUUCCCCAGGCCCAGAAAAUGGCCAGGCUUCCACGGAUGGGCCCUGCCUGCCAGAGCAUGACAGCACAGACCGAGCUCACUGCUGUGCUGGGGAGGCCGGGCCUCGGGGUGGGCCCCUCUGCCUCCUCCGCCCCAGAGUUCAUCCACGCUGUAUUUCUUGUUCACUCAUUAGGCAGAAAUUGGCCUUUCUGUGUAAGAAUCCUCCAGAAAUGUAUUAGCACGUGUAAGACACACCCCUCGUGUUCUCAUGUUCUGAGCUCCCAGCAGAAGGGGUGCCAUCUGAGUCGUAGCAGCUGUCACACACGGAGUCCCUGUGUUUCGCCUGGGUCAGCAGUGGCCUCACCGUGGCCCUCGUGCUGGUUCCCUCUGAUCUGUUCUCCACGUCACUGGCCA